This 22-nucleotide microRNA is filed under the name Bos taurus (domestic cattle). RNAcentral's name for it is "bta-miR-2285ct". The record is from miRBase by way of RNAcentral. Lineage: Eukaryota; Metazoa; Chordata; Mammalia; Artiodactyla; Bovidae.
GAAAGUUAGUUUGGAUUUUUCU